This 242-nucleotide unclassified non-coding RNA is filed under the name uncultured fungus. RNAcentral describes it as "sequence contains ITS2". Lineage: Eukaryota; Fungi. The record is from RNAcentral.
AACGCACAUUGCGCCCGCCAGCAUUCUGGCGGGCAUGCCUGUUCGAGCGUCAUUUCAACCCUCAGGCCCUGCCUGGUGUUGGAGGACUGCGCAUGCAGCCUCCCAAAGCAAGCGGCGGCGGCGCCCCAUAACCGAACGCAGUAGUAACCUCUCGUUCUGGGUCUGGGUCGUUGUCCUGCCGGAAAACCCCCAUCUUUUUAAUGGUUGACCUCGAAUCAGGUAGGAAUACCCGCUGAACUUAA